CAAAGAUGGAUCUGAAGAUCUCAGUUUUUCUUCUGUUCUUACUUUUUACUGCAGGACACUCUCUCAGCUGUUACAAGUGCACGAAUCUGUUGGGUUCUUGUGCAGAUCAAAAGGUAGAAACAUGUCCCAGUGGAUCUUAUAAGUGCUCGACUGUAACAACAGUGAUGCAAGUUGGUUCCGCUAAGGUGACCACCACAAUUAAAGGGUGUGCAAGUGACUGUAAACCUGUGACCACACAGAUAAUAUCUGGGACUGUAUCUGCCCAGUGCUGUGACUCUGAGCUUUGCAAUGCAGCAGAUGGGACGUGUAAGGGAAGCUUCCUCCUGCUGUUGUCUCCUCUGUUCUUCUACUUCCUGUUUCAGUGAGUCCAGCUGCACUUCAUAUUCAACAACUGCAGCAAAAACUGAAUGUCACACACAUUUCUAAAUAAAGUGUGCAUGUUCUGCUGUUCUUUGGUAUCAUGAUUUGAGGAAUGGAAAAUCUGUAUUUUAUUAAACAAAUAUUAACCAAAA
Molecule: long non-coding RNA, 512 nt
Organism: Onychostoma macrolepis
Lineage: Eukaryota; Metazoa; Chordata; Actinopteri; Cypriniformes; Cyprinidae
Exons: 4
Source: RefSeq, a predicted model, not a curated record